AUUGAACGCUGGCGGCAGGCCUAACACAUGCAAGUCGAGCGGAUGAAGGGAGCUUGCUCCUGGAUUCAGCGGCGGACGGGUGAGUAAUGCCUAGGAAUCUGCCUGGUAGUGGGGGAUAACGUCCGGAAACGGGCGCUAAUACCGCAUACGUCCUGAGGGAGAAAGUGGGGGAUCUUCGGACCUCACGCUCUCAGAUGAGCCUAGGUCGGAUUAGCUAGUUGGUGGGGUAAAGGCCUACCAAGGCGACGAUCCGUAACUGGUCUGAGAGGAUGAUCAGUCACACUGGAACUGAGACACGGUCCAGACUCCUACGGGAGGCAGCAGUGGGGAAUAUUGGACAAUGGGCGAAAGCCUGAUCCAGCCAUGCCGCGUGUGUGAAGAAGGUCUUCGGAUUGUAAAGCACUUUAAGUUGGGAGGAAGGGCAGUAAGUUAAUACCGUGCUGUUUUGACGGUACCAACAGAAUAAGCACCGGCUAACUUCGUG
This 484-nucleotide ribosomal RNA is filed under the name uncultured bacterium. RNAcentral describes it as "partial 16S ribosomal RNA". It matches the Rfam family "Bacterial small subunit ribosomal RNA", at positions 30 to 507 of the family's 1533-position model. The record is from RNAcentral.